GUACAUCGUUGGUUAGUUGAGGGAGCUGCAGAUAGAAGACCUAGUGCCAGUCAGUGCCAGUACACAUGAAACCGCGCCUACCAACGCAUGUCGCCGCUCAGUACGGCACACACCCAUCGCCAAUUUGCCACGUUGAUUGCUUGCGCGCCGGCGACGUUCUUUCAUGUUUGGUUGGCGCCCGGCGUAACUUGUUUCUCGGGGCUCAGCUACAUCAGCCACGGGACUACGCUAACCUGCCCCUUGCCACAUGUCCCAUCGCACCCAUCGCCAUGUUCCGGACAUGGGAUAGGAUGAAGGGCCGCCGUCUGAGUUAAUGUUGUACCCAGAGGCCGGCAUGACGUGUGGUCGAGCACGAGCGGACGGUGGCAAUGCGUGCAGGAUGCGUGCGUGUGUGCCGGCAGGGCCUUGACGUAUUGCGGUCUGCAACGGUGUGACGCACACGGGGUGCAUGUAUCCUCCUCUGGCAGAAGUACAUGGCAUACCGAAGGGCCUACGGCACUGCCCUAGCAGGAGCGUUGCUACAAGCCCACUGGGACCAUGCGUGCUCUGGGGAAAUAUCGGUGGACGCGGGAGAGAGGAGUGAGUGACAUGGCAAAUGGCGGCAGAGCGUGUCAAGGCGAGGCACGGGGCCGGUGGUUAGUGCCGCUGUCGUGAGUGUUUCCCCCAUUACACUGCCCCCACAUACUACACACACGCGCGCGCCUUGCGCGGCACCACGGAGUCACGGGCGCUGCACGGCGCUGCGCAGGGGUGCCCUGGGGUGCGGCCACACGCUGAGGGCGGGGCCUCAGGCGACUCGCCGCGUCUCGCAGUAGUUCUGCGUACCUACCUUGUACUUUAUACCACGUCAUUCAUAAGCACACACGGCCCUGACUAGAAAUCAGCAGCGACAUAGCCUGGAGAUAAAACGCAUCAACUGCGAAAUCCUACGCACCCGGGUUUACCAGGCUAACAACGGCUCCUUAUGUACGUAUGUAUUUCUGAAACGUUCCCAGUGGACAGCAUCAACUGUCAAUUCGCUUAUAUCCCUGUCGGCACCUGACGAGGACCGAUGGCCCUGCACCACUUCGAACAAAGCACAUGUACCGAACACAUGAAACUGGAAAGACUGGUAAUGUCGC
This 1121-nucleotide long non-coding RNA is filed under the name Chlamydomonas reinhardtii. RNAcentral describes it as "long non-coding RNA (CREI_LNC000551)". The record is from RNAcentral. Lineage: Eukaryota; Viridiplantae; Chlorophyta; Chlorophyceae; Chlamydomonadales; Chlamydomonadaceae.